GCCAUAAAUAAGAGUAGUUGUGAUCCAUUCAUUGUCCCUAUAUAUCGCAAGGUACUUUGAGAAGUUUAUUUUGGAAUUCUGCAUGUUGCAGCUUAGUUUAUUCCUGCAAUCUGGUGUCUCCUAUCUAAAAAAAAAAGGUUAACAUUUAAGUUCCUAACUGACUUUUCCAUAACAGACUUUCCUGAAAUGCCAACCUUUUUUGUGUGAUAUCAUAAGGAAUACAUCUUUGCUGUAUUUGAAAGACCAGAGAUUAUUGGUUGACUGGAGGUGUACC
Pelobates cultripes (western spadefoot toad) is the source of this 274-nucleotide non-coding RNA. The record is from the annotation of a GenBank genome assembly. NCBI's taxonomy places the organism in Eukaryota, Metazoa, Chordata, Amphibia, Anura, Pelobatidae.